CCUCCUUUCUUGGUAUGCACGCUGUCUUCCUGUACUGGUAUGUGUGUGUUAUGGAGGGAUAUGAAGUCCAGUGCUAUGUCUUCGGUGCCAGAACGUUCCCAUUUUCUGGUUCUAUCCUCAGUCGCUGAUAUCUAC
Small nucleolar RNA from Coregonus clupeaformis (lake whitefish), 135 nucleotides. RefSeq annotates it as small nucleolar RNA SNORA57. The transcript has a single exon. The record is from RefSeq and is a predicted model, not a curated record. Lineage: Eukaryota; Metazoa; Chordata; Actinopteri; Salmoniformes; Salmonidae.